This 176-nucleotide ribosomal RNA is filed under the name uncultured bacterium. RNAcentral's name for it is "partial 16S ribosomal RNA". It matches the Rfam family "Bacterial small subunit ribosomal RNA", at positions 1325 to 1500 of the family's 1533-position model. The record is from RNAcentral.
GCUGGAAUCGCUAGUAAUCGCGGAUCAGAAUGCCGCGGUGAAUACGUUCCCGGGUCUUGUACACACCGCCCGUCACACCAUGGGAGUCGGAAAUGCCCGAAGUCUGUGACCCAACCGCGAGGAGGGAGCAGCCGAAGGCAGGUCGGAUGACUGGGGUGAAGUCGUAACAAGGUAAC